RNAcentral lists this transfer RNA (73 nucleotides) under Camelus bactrianus (Bactrian camel). It matches the Rfam family "tRNA". From Rfam's summary of the family: Transfer RNA (tRNA) molecules are approximately 80 nucleotides in length. Their secondary structure includes four short double-helical elements and three loops (D, anti-codon, and T loops). RNAcentral also lists the same sequence under 2 other names. The record is from Rfam by way of RNAcentral. Lineage: Eukaryota; Metazoa; Chordata; Mammalia; Artiodactyla; Camelidae.
GAGGGUAUAGCUCAGUAGUAGAGUGCAUGCUUUAACGUGCCUGAGGUCCUGGGUUCAAUCCCCAGUACCUCCU